Molecule: long non-coding RNA, 564 nt
Organism: Etheostoma cragini (Arkansas darter)
Lineage: Eukaryota; Metazoa; Chordata; Actinopteri; Perciformes; Percidae
Exons: 2
Source: RefSeq, a predicted model, not a curated record
AGCUGACAUAAAGUUUGGCGUAACGUGACCUUUCUCACGAGAAAGGGAACUUCACCGUGAACACAACCGGAAGUAGAUAUAGAGGAGUAUGAUUCAUUUCCAUGCAUCGGAUGGUGUAAAGAUGGUGCGAUCCUAAAACAUUUUACAAGUAGCUCAUGCUUUUUUGACAGAGCCUGUCUGACCUGCUGUACCUGUCCGCUUCACAAUGCCGCUGGUGUUGGACGCAGUGUGGGCGGUGUGGAGCAUUGGAGCUGGCGUCUAUGACUACUUUCACACCAGUGCCAUGGAAGAGAGGAUCCACACACUGGAAAACGUCCUCUCGAUCCACCAGUUUGUGAUUACGGGCCUGUCGGCAGGUCUCAUCCUGCUCAUAACCUACGUACUCUUGAGAAAACACUGACACCCCACUGACCAUGGCCAAACUCCCCCUGCAACAGGUUUUAUUGCAGGAUGCCAUCUGUACCCGGAGUUCUUUCUGUGCCUGUGCUGUCCAGAGUGAUUGGAUUAUGUGACUGCUCACACUGAAGAUCAAGCAUGUUCAGCAAUGAUCAGGACGUCCCACAU